UGGGGAAUUUUGGACAAUGGGCGAAAGCCUGAUCCAGCAAUGCCGCGUGUGUGAAGAAGGCCUUCGGGUUGUAAAGCACUUUUGUCCGGAAAGAAAUCCUUGGCUCUAAUACAGUCGGGGGAUGACGGUACCGGAAGAAUAAGCACCGGCUAACUACGUGCCAGCAGCCGCGGUAAUACGUAGGGUGCAAGCGUUAAUCGGAAUUACUGGGCGUAAAGCGUGCGCAGGCGGUUUGCUAAGACCGAUGUGAAAUCCCCGGGCUCAACCUGGGAACUGCAUUGGUGACUGGCAGGCUAGAGUAUGGCAGAGGGGGGUAGAAUUCCACGUNUAGCAGUGAAAUGCGUAGAGAUGUGGAGGAAUACCGAUGGCGAAGGCAGCUCCGUAGGCCAAUACUGACGCUCAUGCACGAAAGCGUGGGGGAGCAAACAGGAUUAGAUACCCUGGUAGUCCACGCCCUAAACGAUGUCAACUAGUUGUUGGGGAUUCAUUUUCCUUAGUAACGUAGCUAACGCGUGAAGUUGACCGCCUGGGGAGUACGGUCGCAAGAUUAAAACUCAAA
RNAcentral lists this ribosomal RNA (559 nucleotides) under uncultured bacterium. Its description in RNAcentral is "partial 16S ribosomal RNA". It matches the Rfam family "Bacterial small subunit ribosomal RNA", at positions 355 to 905 of the family's 1533-position model. The record is from RNAcentral.